GUGCCGUCGGGGGUGACCCUGGCGACCUUCCACGCCGCCAAGGGGCUCGAGUGGGACUCGGUCUUCCUGGUCGGCCUCCAGGACGGCACG
RNAcentral lists this transfer RNA (90 nucleotides) under Nocardioides albus. RNAcentral's name for it is "tRNA-Gly". The record is from RNAcentral. Lineage: Bacteria; Bacillati; Actinomycetota; Actinomycetes; Propionibacteriales; Nocardioidaceae.